GUGCGAGUGGUCUAGCUCGGUAUGACACCUCCCUCACACGGAGGAGGUCGCCGGUUCAAAUCCGGCCUCGCACACCA
RNAcentral lists this transfer RNA (77 nucleotides) under Promethearchaeati archaeon. Its description in RNAcentral is "Asgard group archaeon (marine sediment metagenome) tRNA-Val". It matches the Rfam family "tRNA". Rfam says of the family: Transfer RNA (tRNA) molecules are approximately 80 nucleotides in length. Their secondary structure includes four short double-helical elements and three loops (D, anti-codon, and T loops). Further hydrogen bonds mediate the characteristic L-shaped molecular structure. tRNAs have two regions of fundamental functional importance: the anti-codon, which is responsible for specific mRNA codon recognition, and the 3' end, to which the tRNAs corresponding amino acid is attached (by aminoacyl-tRNA synthetases). tRNAs cope with the degeneracy of the genetic code in two manners: having more than one tRNA (with a specific anti-codon) for a particular amino acid; and 'wobble' base-pairing, i.e. permitting non-standard base-pairing at the 3rd anti-codon position. RNAcentral also lists the same sequence under 1 other name. The record is from RNAcentral. Lineage: Archaea; Promethearchaeati.